Molecule: ribosomal RNA, 320 nt
Filed under: uncultured eukaryote
Lineage: Eukaryota
Description: partial 18S ribosomal RNA
Rfam family: Eukaryotic small subunit ribosomal RNA
Source: RNAcentral
CCCCUAGAUGUUCUGGGCCGCACGCGCGCUACACUGAACAGUUCAACAAGUCUUAACCUUGGCCGAUAGGUCUGGGUAAUCUUUGAACGCUGUUCGUGAUUGGGAUAGACCUUUGCAAUUAUAGGUCUUCAACGAGGAAUUCCUAGUAAACGCAAGUCAUCAGCUUGCAUUGAUUACGUCCCUGCCCUUUGUACACACCGCCCGUCGCACCUACCGAUUGAAUGGUCCGGUGAAAUCUCGGGACGGCGGCUUGGUCGCUUGCGUCCGACUGCUGAAACUUGAUUAAACCAUAUCAUUUAGAGGAAGGUGAAGUCGUAACA